AACGAACGCUGGCGGCAGGCUUAACACAUGCAAGUCGAACGAUGUAGCAAUACAUAGUGGCGCACGGGUGAGUAACGCGUGGGAAUAUACCUUAUAGUGGGGAAUAACUUUGGGAAACUAAAGCUAAUACCGCAUACGCCCGAGAGGGGAAAGAUUUAUCGCUAUAAGAUUAGCCCGCGUGAGAUUAGGUGGUUGGUGGGGUAAUGGCCUACCAAGCCUACGAUCUCUAGCUGGUCUGAGAGGAUGAUCAGCCACACUGGAACUGAGACACGGUCCAGACUCCUACGGGAGGCAGCAGUGGGGAAUAUUGGGCAAUGGAGGAAACUCUGACCCAGCCAUGCCGCGUGAAUGAUGAAGGCCUUAGGGUCGUAAAGUUCUUUCGCCGAUGAAGAUAAUGACGGUAGUCGGAGAAGAAGCCCCGGCUAACUUCGUGCCAGCCGCCGCAGUAA
Molecule: ribosomal RNA, 449 nt
Filed under: uncultured bacterium
Lineage: Bacteria
Description: partial 16S ribosomal RNA
Rfam family: Bacterial small subunit ribosomal RNA
Source: RNAcentral